UUUUUUUUUUUUUUUUUUGCUUUUUUAGGGCUGCACCAGGGACAUAUGGAAGUUCCCAGGCCAGGGGUUGAAUCAGAGCUGUAGCUGAGGCCUACAAAACAACCACAGAAACAUCAGCUCCAAGGUACAUCUGUGACCUAUGCCACUGUUUGCGGCAAUGCCAGAUCCUUAACCCCACUGAGUAAGGCCAGGGAUUGAACCCACAUCCUCAGGGACACUAUACCAGGUCCUUAACCCACUGAGGCACAAUGGAAACUCCCAAAGCUUUGUCCUUAAAAGUUCCUCUCACCCCUCAGUCUUCUCCCAAGAAGCACUUCUCCCUCCCCACCCCCUCCAGCUCUACUUCUGAGCAACAGCUCUGUGCAUGUGUGUGCGUGUGUGUUGUGUGUGGAGGGGGGCACAGGAGAAAGUGGGAUGUUAGGUGCAACUGUGCUGCCCAGGUUGGUGAGCAGCCAGGGGUAUGAAGGCCUAAGAGGGAUGAGGAGGGAGGGCAAAGCAGGAUCAGCAGAGCCAGGCCCUGCUCAUUGAGUCCCUUGCUGAUGAACAGGCAACGUCUGGCCAGGAUUUCUGUCUCUCCUUCAGGCCAGUCUUUUCCUACAGGGUCUUUCCCCUCAGAUCUCUAUCCCACAGUUGGGUACAGAACCCAGCUCUGGUGUUAAGCCAGCUGGGAUGGUCCUAGCACUGAUGCCCAGCUGUGGAGUCAUGAGCACACAUCUGGUCUGCUGGAGCCUCAGUUUCCCUACUUAGAGAAUAAAAAGAGAAAUUCCUGUCAUGGCUCAGUGAUUAGCAAAUCCGACUAGGAACCAUGAGGUGGCGGAUUCAAUCCCUGGCCUUGCUCAGUGGGUUAAGGAUCUGGUGCUGCCGUGAGCUGUGGUGUAGGCUGGCAGCUGUAGCUCUGAUUGGACCCCUAAGCUGGAAACCUCCAUAUGCCUCAGGUGUGGCCCUAAAAAGACAAAAGCCCCCCCCACCACCAAAAAAAAAGAGAGAGAGAAUUAAAAAGAGAAGCUACAGAGCCCCCAGGAAGACCAUAGCAGUUGUGUGGGACUGGGUUAGGGCCUAAUCACACUUUGAGUGUGUGGCCAUGAGUGUUCCCCUCACAGGGUCCCAGGGUCAGCGGGGGCCUUGAAGCCUGGCUGAUGGGGCAGGGAGAGCAUGUCUGGACUAUGUAGAGAAAAAGUAAGGGCCUCCCUUUCUGGCUAGGUGACCUUGAGAUAGCCUUUUAACCACUUAGGACCUGUUAACCCUCAGAAUGGAGAAUACCUCCCCAGCCAAGGGUGGACAGAGGUGUGGGCAGGGACUUGCCACUUCCCUCAUGCCCUCAGGUUACUCUUUGGCUCUCACAGAGCACAGCUCCAAGCCUGCAACCCACCCACCCACAGCAUGUUACAGAGAAGGGGGCCCCUAGCCCAUCCUCCAGAGGCCAGUUCUGGGGUGGAGAAAGCUGAGCCUCAAUGUCUGGGCGGGGGGCUACGAGGCGGGGCUGUGACAGAGCACAGUCCUUUGACCCCUUGCAGGAGGAUGGUGGGGCAGCCUAGGGACAUAGUUCACCACUACGCCUUUGCUUUGGGGCGCUGGUUCUCUGGGGCUACCUGAAGCAGCAGGCAGUGGGAUUGCUGCAUUCUCCGCCACUGAGAGGCCCUGGCACCUGCUCCCAGGUCAGGCUAGCCUACCUGAGCAGAUGCUGUGGGAGGACUGGAUCUAGAACCACCCACCCUGAGUGGAAAGAGCUUCUGGGUGGCAGUGACUGGGUUUCUAGGGGACACUGGUGCCCUGCUAUAUAUAGGUGGCUCCAGAGCCAGGCACCCUGUGUGACUUGAGCCAGUCACGAAUUUUUAUCUUACAGAAUUGUGGUGGGGAGUAAAUGUGUAUACCUGAUGAUUUUUUUCUCCUUGGGGUCUCCUUCAUAGUCCCACCACCCCCCUGGAUCCCUCUGGCCAUGAACCCAUGUAGACACGAGCCCCAGAAGCAUUCUUUCUCUGGACCAUAUUGCAGCAGGAAGAACUAUGGACAUAUCUGCUCUUCCCACUGGAGCACAGGCCCCUGACAUUUGCAGCGCUCAAGGCAAAGGGACAAAUGAAGGCCCACACCAUAGAAUCUAAAUAUUUAAAAUUCUAAAUCAAGCUACAAACUGCUAACAAAACAUGUUAUGCCCUCCUAUUCAGCAAAUAAACCUUCAUAACAAUAAAAAAAAAUCUGUAAACCUAUGGUUUUUAUGUCUGAAAGCCAUACAGAAAUAUCAGAAAGUCAGACAUCAAAGAUGACUGAAUUUAAUGAUUAUUGCUCAUGUCCAGGUGUUUAGUGAUGUUAAGUGAAUAAAAAGAUAAAGACACGGAGUUCCCAUCAUGGUGCAGCAGAAAUGAAUCUGACAGGGAACCAUGAGGUUGCGGGUUCAAUCCCUGGCCUCGCUCAGUGGGUUAAGGAUCCGGUGUUGCCGUGAGCUGAGGUGUAGGUCGGCAGCUGUAGCUCUGACUGGACCCCUAGCCUGGGAACCUCCAUAUGCCGUGGGUACGGCCCCAAAAAAACCAAAAAAAAAAAAAAAAAGAAAAAAAAAGAUAAAGAUAUGCCUAAUUCAUAAGGUAUUGUAUAUAUAUAUUCUGUAACAUUUACUGUUCUUGCUUUUAUUCUAGUAAAACUAUUGAUUAUGUUGUUAUAAUCAAGAUUUCUACAUAAUUACUAAUCUAUUGGCAGAAAUGAUUUGAAAGAGUAAAAUGGCAUAUUAGAUUCAAAGACCACAAAAAUAGAAAUUAAAUUUAAAAUAUUUAAAAAUUGAACAUAAUUAAAUAUAUUCCAGGACUUCCCGUCGUGGCUCAGUGGUUGAUGAAUCCAACUAGGAACCAUGAGGUUGAGGGUUCAAUCCCUGGCCUCGCUCAGUGGGUUAAGGACCCGGCAUUGCCGUGAGCUGUGGUGUAGGCCGCAAAUGCAGCUGGGAUCCCGCAUAGCUGUGGCUCUGGCGUAGGCCAAUGGCUGCAGCUCCAAUUAGACCCCUAGCCUAGGAACCUCCAUAUGCUGGGGCUGCGGCCCUAGAAAAGACAUAAAGACCAU
RNAcentral lists this long non-coding RNA (3042 nucleotides) under Sus scrofa (pig). RNAcentral's name for it is "lncRNA (ENSSSCG00030050238.1)". The record is from RNAcentral. Lineage: Eukaryota; Metazoa; Chordata; Mammalia; Artiodactyla; Suidae.